Molecule: ribosomal RNA, 457 nt
Filed under: uncultured Rhodoferax sp.
Lineage: Bacteria; Pseudomonadati; Pseudomonadota; Betaproteobacteria; Burkholderiales; Comamonadaceae
Description: bacterial SSU rRNA
Rfam family: Bacterial small subunit ribosomal RNA
Source: RNAcentral
CACAAGCGGUGGAUGAUGUGGUUUAAUUCGAUGCAACGCGAAAACCUUACCACCUUUGACAUGUACGGAAUCCUUUAGAGAUAGAGGAGUGCUCGAAAGAGAACCGUAACACAGGUGCUGCAUGGCUGUCGUCAGCUCGUGUCGUGAGAUGUUGGGUUAAGUCCCGCAACGAGCGCAACCCUUAUCUUUAAUUGCCAGCAUUCAGUUGGGCACUUUAAGAGACUGCCGGUGUUAAACCGGAGGAAGGUGGGAUGACGUCAAGUCCUCAUGGCCUUUAUGCUUAGGGCUACACACGUGCUACAAUGGGUGGUACAAAGAGAAGCCAACUCGCGAGAGCGCGCCAAUCUCAAAAAGCCAAUCCUCAGUUCGGAUUGGAGUCUGCAACUCGACUCCAUGAAGUUGGAAUCGCUAGUAAUCGCGGAUCAGCAUGCCGCCGGUGAAUACGCUCCCGGGCCUU